Molecule: ribosomal RNA, 468 nt
Filed under: uncultured bacterium
Lineage: Bacteria
Description: partial 16S ribosomal RNA
Rfam family: Bacterial small subunit ribosomal RNA
Source: RNAcentral
GACGAACGCUGGCGGCGUGCUUAACACAUGCAAGUCGAACGGAAAGGCCCUGCUUUUGUGGGGUGCUCGAGUGGCGAACGGGUGAGUAACACGUGAGUAACCUGCCCUUGACUUUGGGAUAACUUCAGGAAACUGGGGCUCAUACCGGAUAGGAGCUCCUGCUGCAUGGUGGGGGUUGGAAAGUUUCGGCGGUUGGGGAUGGACUCGCGACUUAUUAGCUUGUUGGUGGGGUAGUGGCUUAACAAGGCUUGGACGGGUAGCCAGCCUGAGAGGGUGACCGGCCCAAUUAGAUUGGGAAUGAGGCCCGGACCACUACCGGAGGGAAGGGUGGAGAGGAGUAGAUCAUAGGAUGAAGGCUGAACCGACAAAGCCGCGUCGCGGAAGACGUGCUUGCGGUUGGAAACCAAAUUCCCCUGAGACGGAGGGUGAGUGACGGUAAUGGGAGAAGAAGCACCGGCUAACUACGUG